UACGUAGGGUGCAAGCGUUAAUCGGAAUUACUGGGCGUAAAGCGUGCGCAGGCGGCUUUGCAAGACAGAGGUGAAAUCCCCGGGCUCAACCUGGGAACUGCCUUUGUGACUGCAAGGCUAGAGUACGGCAGAGGGAGAUGGAAUUCCGCGUGUAGCAGUGAAAUGCGUAGAUAUGCGGAGGAACACCGAUGGCGAAGGCAAUCUCCUGGGCCUGUACUGACGCUCAUGCACGAAAGCGUGGGGAGCAAACAGG
Molecule: ribosomal RNA, 253 nt
Filed under: uncultured bacterium
Lineage: Bacteria
Description: partial 16S ribosomal RNA
Rfam family: Bacterial small subunit ribosomal RNA
Source: RNAcentral